UUGACCUCGGAUCAGGUAGGAAUACCCGCUGAACUUAAGCAUAUC
RNAcentral lists this ribosomal RNA (45 nucleotides) under Sarocladium strictum. RNAcentral's name for it is "partial 28S ribosomal RNA". Lineage: Eukaryota; Fungi; Ascomycota; Sordariomycetes; Hypocreales; Sarocladiaceae. RNAcentral also lists the same sequence under 110 other names. The record is from RNAcentral.